CUUCGAGGGCGGCGUGCUAUACAUGCAAGUCGAGCGGACUGAUGGGAGCUUGCUCCCUGAAGUCAGCGGCGGACGGGUGAGUAACACGUGGGUAACCUGCCUGUAAGACUGGGAUAACUCCGGGAAACCGGGGCUAAUACCGGAUAGUUCUUUUCCUCGCAUGAGGAAAAGUGGAAAGGCGGCUUCGGCUGCCACUUACAGAUGGACCCGCGGCGCAUUAGCUAGUUGGUGAGGUAACGGCUCACCAAGGCAACGAUGCGUAGCCGACCUGAGAGGGUGAUCGGCCACACUGGGACUGAGACACGGCCCAGACUCCUACGGGAGGCAGCAGUAGGGAAUCUUCCGCAAUGGACGAAAGUCUGACGGAGCAACGCCGCGUGAGUGAUGAAGGUUUUCGGAUCGUAAAGCUCUGUUGUUAGGGAAGAACAAGUGCCGUUCGAAUAGGGCGGCACCUUGACGGUACCUAACCAGAAAGCCACGGCUAACUACGUGCCAGCAGCCGCGGUAAUACGUAGGUGGCAAGCGUUGUCCGGAAUUAUUGGGCGUAAAGCGCGCGCAGGCGGUCUCUUAAGUCUGAUGUGAAAGCCCACGGCUCAACCGUGGAGGGUCAUUGGAAACUGGGGGACUUGAGUACAGAAGAGGAAAGUGGAAUUCCACGUGUAGCGGUGAAAUGCGUAGAUAUGUGGAGGAACACCAGUGGCGAAGGCGACUUUCUGG
RNAcentral lists this ribosomal RNA (717 nucleotides) under Bacillus sp. (in: firmicutes). RNAcentral's name for it is "bacterial SSU rRNA". It matches the Rfam family "Bacterial small subunit ribosomal RNA", at positions 31 to 732 of the family's 1533-position model. The record is from RNAcentral. Lineage: Bacteria; Bacillati; Bacillota; Bacilli; Caryophanales; Bacillaceae.